UUGGAAUGUGAAGUUGAAGUUCAAUAAUGCCAAUCAUAGAACAAACAUAACUUCAGGUUGGGGACCAAUUGUUGAGGAGUAUAAUUUAAAAGUGGGUGAUGUUUGUGUAUUUGAGUUGCUUGAUACCACAAAUAUUUUAUUCAAAGUUCAUCUUGUCCGUCUCAAAGAUUAAUCUACCUAGCUCUAAGCACUUUCAAGAUUAUGAAAGUCCUACGUUGAAGAAGAGAUGAAGACAAAAUUAAUUCAAAUAUGAAGACAUUGCGACUAAGAUCCAUUUACUUUCAAGUUAAUGUUUUUUUUUUUCUUUUUUGUUUUGUCAAGAAACUAUUUUCUACAUGAACAUGCAAUUCUUAUGCAUUAACAUGUAUGCAGUAGAAUAUUUACCUUU
Long non-coding RNA from Cicer arietinum (chickpea), 388 nucleotides. RefSeq lists it as uncharacterized. NCBI's taxonomy places the organism in Eukaryota, Viridiplantae, Streptophyta, Magnoliopsida, Fabales, Fabaceae. The record is from RefSeq and is a predicted model, not a curated record.